Molecule: small nucleolar RNA, 83 nt
Organism: Protopterus annectens (West African lungfish)
Lineage: Eukaryota; Metazoa; Chordata; Ceratodontiformes; Protopteridae
Product: small nucleolar RNA snoR14
Exons: 1
Source: RefSeq, a predicted model, not a curated record
CAAAGGUGCUGCUUAAUGAAACUGUCUGUCAACCCUCUGAUAUUUAUUUGCAGAUGAAAAUUUAGAUCCCUGGUUCUGAUUUG